GCCCGGGUGGUGGAACUGGUAGACACACCAUCUUGAGGGGGUGGCGGCGCAAGCCGUGCGGGUUCAAAUCCCGCCCCGGGCACCA
Molecule: transfer RNA, 85 nt
Filed under: Gemmobacter caeni
Lineage: Bacteria; Pseudomonadati; Pseudomonadota; Alphaproteobacteria; Rhodobacterales; Paracoccaceae
Description: tRNA-Leu
Rfam family: tRNA
About the family: Transfer RNA (tRNA) molecules are approximately 80 nucleotides in length.
Source: RNAcentral